ACGCUAGCUACAGGCUUAACACAUGCAAGUCGAGGGGAAACGGCAUUUAGUGCUUGCACCGAAUGGACGUCGACCGGCGCACGGGUGAGUAACGCGUAUCCAACCUACCCAUUACUGUGGGAUAACCUGCCGAAAGGCAGACUAAUACCGCAUAGUCUUCGAUGACGGCAUCAGAUUUGAAGUAAAGAUUUAUCGGUAAUGGAUGGGGAUGCGUCUGAUUAGCUUGUUGGCGGGGUAACGGCCCACCAAGGCAACGAUCAGUAGGGGUUCUGAGAGGAAGGUCCCCCACAUUGGAACUGAGACACGGUCCAAACUCCUACGGGAGGCAGCAGUGAGGAAUAUUGGUCAAUGGGCGCGAGCCUGAACCAGCCAAGUAGCGUGCAGGAUGACGGCCCUAUGGGUUGUAAACUGCUUUUGUAUGGGGAUAAAGUCAAUCACGUGUGAUUGUUUGCAGGUACCAUACGAAUAAGGACCGGCUAAUUCCGUGCCAGCAGCCGCGGUAAUACGGAAGGUCCGGGCGUUAUCCGGAUUUAUUGGGUUUAAAGGGAGCGUAGGCUGGAGAUUAAGUGUGUUGUGAAAUGUAGACGCUCAACGUCUGACUUGCAGCGCAUACUGGUUUCCUUGAGUACGCACAACGUUGGCGGAAUUCGUCGUGUAGCGGUGAAAUGCUUAGAUAUGACGAAGAACUCCGAUUGCGAAGGCAGCUGACGGGAGCGCAACUGACGCUUAAGCUCGAAGGUGCGGGUAUCGAACAGGAUUAGAUACCCUGGUAGUCCGCACAGUAAACGAUGGAUGCCCGCUGUUGGUACCUGGUAUCAGCGGCUAAGCGAAAGCAUUAAGCAUCCCACCUGGGGAGUACGCCGGCAACGGUGAAACUCAAAGGAAUUGACGGGGGCCCGCACA
RNAcentral lists this ribosomal RNA (903 nucleotides) under uncultured bacterium. RNAcentral's name for it is "bacterial SSU rRNA". It matches the Rfam family "Bacterial small subunit ribosomal RNA", at positions 33 to 927 of the family's 1533-position model. The record is from RNAcentral.